RNAcentral lists this transfer RNA (73 nucleotides) under Priapulus caudatus. RNAcentral's name for it is "tRNA-Val". It matches the Rfam family "tRNA". From Rfam's summary of the family: Transfer RNA (tRNA) molecules are approximately 80 nucleotides in length. Their secondary structure includes four short double-helical elements and three loops (D, anti-codon, and T loops). The record is from RNAcentral. Lineage: Eukaryota; Metazoa; Priapulida; Priapulimorpha; Priapulimorphida; Priapulidae.
GUUCCCAUAGUGUAGUGGUUAUCACAUCUGCCUAACACGCAGAAGGUCCCAGGUUCGAGACCUGGUCGGAACA